UAUUGAAAGCGUCUUAGAAGUGAGCGACCAAGAUUUCUUCUCUCUUAGACUUAUUGGAAGAGGAGCUUUCGGAGAAGUUUUUUGCAUGCAGAAGAAAGAUAGUGGCCAUCUAUACGCAGUAAAGUCUUUAGACAAACGACAUCUAAAAAAAACAAGAAAAGAAACAGUGGCAAUAAAUGAGAGAUUAAUUUUAGAAAAGUGCAAAAGUCCCUUUAUUGUGAGACUUGCGUACGCCUUUCAAAAUGAAAAUUUCUUGUUUCUAGCGAUGACUAUGAUGGACGGCGGUGAUCUUCGUUACCAUCUGAACUUAUCAAGAAGAUUCAGCGAAA
This is a long non-coding RNA of Zophobas morio, 329 nucleotides long. RefSeq lists it as uncharacterized. Lineage: Eukaryota; Metazoa; Arthropoda; Insecta; Coleoptera; Tenebrionidae. The record is from RefSeq and is a predicted model, not a curated record. The transcript has 4 exons.